Molecule: microRNA precursor, 55 nt
Filed under: Caenorhabditis brenneri
Lineage: Eukaryota; Metazoa; Nematoda; Chromadorea; Rhabditida; Rhabditidae
Source: RNAcentral
CAUGACACGUAGUUCGCUGAAAUCUUACCGUGCAUUUCAGUUAACACGUGUCAAG